GUUCUUAACCAAUCGAGUGAAGGAUUCAAAAUUAACCACUCCAAGAGAGGAUUGAAAAAGAACUACUCUCUGGACAAAAAGAAAGAAAGGGGAGGGGGUAACACAGGGAUAUAAGCCUUAGCCACCCGAGCCAGCAAUAGCAACCCUUCCAAGUCCCCUUCCACCAUGUGGAAGCUUUCCUUUCACUUUGUUCAAUAAACUGUUCUGCUGCUCACUCUCCUGGUCUGUGGACUCUUUUUGAGCUGUAACAUACACCGCGAAGUUCCGUAGCUUCAUUCUCCGAAGUUAGUGAGACCACGAACCCAUCAGCAGGAAAAACUCCUAACUCAUCAAGGGGGCUUGCCUGGGAUUUCCAAAGUGAAUCAAUGAAACUACAAAUGGUACUGCAGAUGGAACCUCAGAUGACUUCAACCAGCACCUAUUAUCAAGGACCUCUAGACCAGCCUGCCAGCCCAUACCCGGACGUUGACACCCAAACCACCUCUCAUGAGGAAACCUCAGGUGCAGGGCCCCUUCUACACCCCUAUUCAGCAGGAAGCAGUUAGAGUGGUCAUUGUCCCACACCCCAACAGCAGUUGGGCUCCCCUGUUGAGAGGGAGGACUGAGGGGUGGAAUUGGCGGGACUUCCUGGGCCAGUUUGGGGACUUUUGCAAAAGACCCUUGUGACUCAGGUUUUGAGUUCUUAACCAAUCGAGUGAAGGAUUCAAAAUUAAUCCCUCCAAGGGAGGAUUGAAAAAGAACCACUCUCUGGACAAAAAGAAAGGGGAGGGGGUAACACAGGGAUAUAAGCCCUAGCCACCCAAGCCAGCAACAGCAACCCUUCCAGGUCCCCUUCCACUGUGUAGAAGCUUUCCUUUCACUUUGUUCAAUAAACUGUGCUGCUGCUCAC
Molecule: long non-coding RNA, 889 nt
Filed under: Homo sapiens (human)
Lineage: Eukaryota; Metazoa; Chordata; Mammalia; Primates; Hominidae
Description: HSALNT0109532
Source: RNAcentral